GCCUAGGCUUGCUCGCCUUGACGUCACGUGGGCAGAAGGCAUCCUCUGGCGGCGCGGCCGCGGUAUUCAACUUCGGGUUCAAGUCCGCGCCGUGCGCCCCGCGCCGUGCGCCCGUGCCUGCGCGCCGCCGCCACAUCUGGAAGCGUUCAGCGCGUCUGCUCCAGCGCGCCGGGCAGGCGGGCGGGCGGGCGGCGGCGGCGCGGGCAGGGGAGGGCGCGGGCGCGGCGGCUGGCCGGGAGGGAGUGAGCGCGGCGCUCUCGCGCGCCCGGUGUCUCCCUCUCUCUGCCUCUGCAGAAACAGCUCCCUGCCAGAACGGCGCUCGGCGCGGCGCGGCGCGGCCCGGAGCGGCGGCGGCCACGGUCUUCUGCCUCCUCGCCCUCAGGAGUUCGUGGCUCUUUUUGACAGCUAAAAGCCGGCCAGGGGCCUCCGGGAGGACUCUCCAAGAGUGGGCAGAGAAGUCUCAGCCCCCUGUGGCCCGAGUGCACCGCCGCGCCCCGCAUCUCGGGGUCCAUCGCUCUCCCUUGCCCCUCCUUUCUGCCUCUCCUCGCUCUGCCUCUCUCGUUUUAUUUUUUCAAAUGGUGUAGCCGCCAGAGGUGCGGUGCUAAAUUCUUGGAAGGGGCCCGGAUGUACUGAAGAUGCAUUACAAUCUUACUAAAGGAGGCAGUAGUGGAAAGGAGCAGUUUUUGGUGUUUGAUGCAAUAAUGGGAAUCAGGUAAUCAUCAGGAGGGAAGAAGAAAUACUGCGGAUCCACAGCUUCCCUGAAUUUUGCACGAGAGCAACGGACCUCGGAGGAGAGAUUAACCCAGACCCACUUGGUGUUUCUACAUUUUUCCUCUUUGUGGCUUCUUCUCCCUUUCAGACAAUUUUUGGUCAAUGGUCAAUGAAAAUACGAGGAUGUAUAUUCCAGAGGAAAACCACCAAGGUUCCAACUAUGGCAGCCCACGCCCAGCUCAUGCCAACAUGAAUGCCAAUGCGGCUGCAGGGCUGGCCCCUGAGCACAUCCCCACCCCGGGGGCAGCCCUAUCCUGGCAGGCAGCCAUCGAUGCGGCCCGGCAGGCCAAGCUGAUGGGCAGUGCUGGAAAUACCACCAUCUCCACUGUCAGCUCUACACAGCGGAAGCGGCAGCAGUAUGGGAAACCUAAGAAGCAGAGUGGCACAACUGCCACGCGGCCGCCUCGGGCCCUGCUCUGCCUAACUCUGAAGAACCCUAUCCGGAGAGCAUGCAUCAGCAUUGUUGAAUGGAAACCAUUUGAAAUAAUUAUUUUACUGACUAUUUUUGCCAAUUGUGUGGCCUUAGCAAUCUAUAUUCCCUUUCCAGAAGAUGAUUCCAACGCUACCAAUUCCAACCUGGUAAGUCCUCAAGUCUACAUUUCUUACUAGCUGGUGGAGGACUGAGU
This 1397-nucleotide long non-coding RNA is filed under the name Cavia porcellus (domestic guinea pig). RNAcentral's name for it is "lncRNA (ENSCPOG00000032055.1)". Lineage: Eukaryota; Metazoa; Chordata; Mammalia; Rodentia; Caviidae. The record is from RNAcentral.